UGCUGCACUGCUCGAAGGCCACGAGGUUCGAGAACCGAGGUAGGGUGGAGGGCUCCACAGAAAGGAAAGGGAUCUCGAGCACGCCAUUGUGAAAUGCUACAUCUAGGAAGGCACUAAGACGCCUCUGAUUCUGAUUCUGACUCUGAUUCUGAUUCUCCUCCUCCUCCUUCUUCUCCUUCUUCUUCUCCUCCUCCUCCUCCUUCUUCCUGUCCUUCUUCUUCUUCGUCGUCUUCUUCUUAAUUGUCACUCCGGCCUCCACGAGCUCGGUAGCGGAUGGAAUCGUCCUUGGAAAUCUUUUCUUAGCCGGCUCCUGUGACCUGCAAUUCUUCAAUCGGAUACAAGAAAGCAGCAAGGUGAUACAAGAGGGGAGCAGGGCGAAGAUCCUACACGGCCAUAACCAUUUGAGAAUAGUACCGCGGAUGGUCCUGCCCGUCGGGUUAGUUUGUGGUUUCGUGACAUAGCAGUGGUAGUAGAGAUGCAACAAGUGACCAAAAUCUUUGGCUUCGCGGGGCACACGUAGGGGGUGAUCGUGAUUGCCUUGCACUUCCUUGUCUGUGCUCUCUAUAUCUUCCUCCGGGCUCUCGAGGUUUAUGCUCUCGAGGAACUUUACAAGAAGCUCCAUCAGAGUUGAAGGUAUCUCGCUGUCCAAGGUGGGCGUGACGAGUUCGAACAACUCGUCGAGCACGAAGAGGGGGAUUUGGUUCUCGAGCAAGAGCAAAUCGUCGCGAAUGAGCGGCAAGCUCCAAUCCGCAGCGAACAAGUCGUCCUUGUUCCCUUGGUACCACUUGAUGAGGAACUCUAGGAUGAAGCACCCGUCGAGAAGCAGGAUCUCCACGAACUUCUUGGCGUUGAGCUUGACAGGUUCGAAGUAGCACCGCCGCGCCUUUGGCUCCAACUCCCUGAUCUUGGCUUUGUAGUAAUUGAUGCGGCUGUCGCCGCUGCGAGAGCGGAAUGACUGGAGGUAACGUUGUUUAAGCCACUCCGUCUCCCGAAGGGAGGGCUCGUCACGGCAACCGUAGGGGCCGAUGGCGACCAUUCGGGGCUCGUACAGCUCCUUGUUGCGCUCCCGGAUGAGGGCCGGGACGCGGAAGAACGUGAACUUCUUAUCCGCGGCCGUCAGCUCAUCGCUUGAGGGGCGUUGUAUAUGCCUGGCCAGUACCAGGGACUGGGGAAUAUCUAUUCUCGCUUCUUCCAAUCCUUCCAUCGUCAACUUAUUGCAGAGUUUCUCAAACGCUCACGAAUUAAUUGGUGCACAAAAAAUAGGUGGGAAGAGUUUUCCUCCCUCGGCUUAUUUAUAACCGCAGACGCAGAAGAGCUCCCUGGAUUGGGACAGAAAUUAUUAGGAGACUUGGAUUUUUUUUUUUUUUUGAGAAAUAAAUAGAAAGCUAUCUGUUUCAUUUAUUAAGUAAAAUGAAUUGAGCGUACAGAGAUAGAAGCAACUUAGGUCUCCCGUAGAUUUGAAAUUCAAAGUGUAUAUUUGAGCCCGUGGAAUAUAUCGCGAUUUGGGCGUUAGAUUUCACAUCUCGAGUAAAAAUUUAAUAUAUAUUUAAAAAUCACAAAAAAAAAAAUUAAAUAGUUUUUUAGAUAAAUUUUUAGUUUCAUAACUUAGUAUCGAAUUAAUUUUCAAACUCUUAAUUUUAAAAUUUUUAAAAUUCUUAAUUAUUUUAUGUUAGAUAAAUUUAUUUAAUUUUUAAUGCUAAUCUUUUUCUUCUUUUUUUUUUUUGAGAAAAAGGUGAUAUAUUACCCAUUUCAUUUAUUUUUUUGAAAAUAAACUCAUACCAAAUUGUGAAGCAAUUAGGUUUCAAACUUAAAACUUUAGUUACCAACCACCAAAUCUGUUGUCACUUACACUAGAGACGGUUGGUCAUUGGUGGAUUUAUAUAAAAAUUAUUUUUUAUCUAAAGAUCAAAAGUCUGCAUAAUUAUUUGUCAUUAAGACGAUUGUUGACUCAAUGGCAUGCAGAAGAAGACCUCUCAACAAGUCAUUCGGCACGAGUUCUUUUUAGGUUCUAAAUUUGCCACUUGUUUCAAUUUAAAUGAUUAAAUUUUCGUUGUAGAUAAGGCAUCUUUUUCUUCGCUCUUGUGGAUAGGACAUUUAGGUUCUAUAUGCAAGAUGCGUUUCUCAAGUUUCACCGCUUGAAACAAGAGAAUCGCUCUGUUGAGGAAUACUCGGAGGAGUUUGAUCAUCUUAUGAUGCGGUGCGGUAUUUACGAACCGGAGGAGCAAACCAUCGCUCGUUACCUCGGUGGGCUUCGUCGUGAGAUUUUCGACAUCGUCGACCUUCAGCCUUAUUGGACAUACAACGACGUCUACAAGCUUGCGAUUAAAGCGGAGAGAUAGCUCAAGGGAAAGGAGGUGCGUCGAGCAUCAAGUGCCAGUGGUAAUCGAUCCAUAGCCCGUGAGAACACUCCCAACCGGGGGAGUACUUCUCAAACUUCUAAGUCCAUAUCCCAAAAGUCUCAUCUGAAGCAAGAUGCGGUGAGUACUUCUAAUUAUCCUAGUUCUUCGAAUUCCAACCCGCGACGGUGCUACAAAUGUCAAGGCUUCGGACACAUUGCCUUCGAAUGCCCAAAUAGAAGAAUUGUUACUCUGUUGGACGAGAUACCUGAUGAAGAGGAAUGUCUUGAAACUACAUCACCCGUGUAUGAUGAAGAAGUGGAAGGGGAAGAUGAAGUCACUUAUGGUGAUGGAGGAGAGGCUCUUGUCAUUCGAUGAGCCUUAAGCGCUACACCUGUCAAGGAAGAUGAUUGGCUUCGCAACAAUAUUUUUCACACACGGUGCACUUCCCAUGGCAAGGUAUGUAAUGUUAUUAUAGAUGAGGGUAGUUGUGAAAAUGUAGUUUCUACUACUAUGGUAGAGAAGCUACAGCUUCCUAUAGAGAAACAUCCCCAACCAUAUAAACUCUCUUGGCUUAAGAAAGAAAAUGAUCUGAAAGUGGAGAAAAGAUACUUAGUUGACUUCUCUAUUGGUAAAAAUUAUAAGGAUGAAGUGUGGUGUGAUGUCAUCCCUAUGGAUGCAUGUCACUUACUUCUUGGACGUCCAUGGCAGUUUGAUAGAAAAGUCAUACAUGAUGGUUUUAAGAAUACUUAUUCCUUCACUAAGGAUGGCACUAAAAUCACACUAGGCCCUUCCAAACCUGAGUAUUUAUCCAAAUUUUCUACAGAAGAGGAUAAAAUCUUAUGUUCUAAAUCAUUAUUUCUUAAGGAGUUGUCAAAAUCCUCCGAGGCCUAUGCUUUACUCCUUGUAGAGGAAAAUAAAAUAGAGAAUACGAUACCUCCUAUCAUCGUACCCCUUAUUCAUGAGUUUAAAGAUGUAAUUCCGGAGGAGAUUCCACCUGGUCUUCCACCUAUGCGGGAGAUCCAACAUUGCAUUGAUCUUGUGGCGAGCGCCGCUAUCCCCAAUAAGGCAGCAUAUCGAAUGAAUCCGAAGGAGAAUGAAGAGCUACAACGACAAGUUGAAGAUCUUAUUCGAAAGGACUUAGCAUGAGAAAGUAUGGGCCCCUGUGCAGUGUCGACGCUACUAGUGCCAAAGAAGGAUAAAUCUUGGCGCAUGUGUGUGGAUAGUAGAGCGGUUAACAAAAUCACUAUUAAGUACCGCUUUUCUAUUCCACGUCUCGACGAUCUUCUUGACCAACUUCAUGGUGCCUCAGUCUUCUCAAAAAUUGAUCUAAGAAGUGGCUAUCAUCAAAUCCGUAUGCGCCCUCGUGAUGAAUGGAAAACGGCUUUCAAGACGCGUGACGGUCUCUACGAAUGGAUGGUCAUGCCAUUUGGCUUUUCAAAUGCUCCAAGCACUUUUAUGCGACUCAUGAAUCAUGUAUUCAAACCCUUUAUUGGUAAGUUUCUUGUUGUUUACUUUGACGAUAUUUUGAUCUACAGUAAAAGCAUUGAGGAGCAUAUAACACAUCUUCGACAAGUAUUCCAAAUUCUACGGGAGCAAAAGCUAUACGCCAAUUUAAAGAAAUGCAACUUUGUGACAAAUAGCCUAGUCUUUUUGGGCUAUGUUGUCUCGGCCGAAGGUAUCAAGAUGGAUCCAGCGAAGGUUGAGGCCAUUGUUUCGUGGCCCGAACCUACUUCACUUCAGGACAUUCGAAGCUUUCAUGGCCUUGCUUCUUUCUACCGGCGCUUCAUCAAAGGGUUUAGCACUAUCAUAACCCCCAUCACUGAUUGCUUGAAAGGAGGAUCUUUCAAAUGGACGAAUAAUGCAAAGAAGAGUUUUGAGCUUCUGAAAACAAGGAUGAUAGAAGCUCCCCUCCUUACAAUCCCCGACUUUGACAAAGUGUUCGAAGUGGAGUGCGAUGCCUCAAAUGUGGGAAUCGGUGCGGUACUUAGCCAAGAAGGUAAACCUCUUGCUUUCUUCAGUGAAAAGUUGAAUAAUUCCUGAUAAAAUUAUUCUACCUAUGACAAAGAGUUUUAUGCUAUCGUUCGAGCUUUGGAGCAUUGGCGCCACUAUCUUAUUUCUAAGGAGUUUAUUCUCUUUUCUGAUCAUGAGGCCUUAAAGUAUAUUCAUGGCCAACACAAACUCAAUAGAAGGCAUGCUAAAUGGAUAGAAUUUUUACAAGCUUAUACUUUUCACAUUAAACACAAGGCGGGUAAGCAAAACCAAGUGGCAGAUGCCUUGAGCCGAAGACAUACUUUACUUUCAGCCAUGCAAGUGCAAGUUCUAGGCUUCGAGGUGCUCAAGGAGCUCUACGAGGAUGAUUCGUAUUUUGGCAAGGUAUGGAAAGAUUAAUUGUUCAAAUGGAUCUCACAAUAAAUUUAUUCUGCACGAUGGCUAUCUUUUCAAAGGCAAUCUUUUAUGUAUUCCUCAAUGUUCUCUAUGUUAUUUCAUUAUUAAAGAAGCCCAUGAAGGAGGACUUAGCGGUCACUUUGGAAGAGACAAGACGGUAGCCCUGUUACAAGAGCAUUUUUAUUGGCCACACCUAUAUAAAAAUAUUUCUAACUAUAUUGCAAGAUGCAAAACUUGUUAUAUUGCUAAGAGCCAUGUUCAAAAUACUGGCCUCUACACUCCAUUGCCAGUUCCUAAUGCGCCAUGGGAGGAUGUGAGUCUUGACUUCGUUUUGGGUCUACCGCGGACUCAACGGCACAAGGACUCUAUUAUGGUGGUCGUUGAUCGAUUCUCCAAAAUGGCACAUUUCGUUCCAUGCACGAAGACGAUGGAUGCUACUCACAUCGCUGACCUCUACUUCCGGGAGAUCGUUAAGCACCAUGACAUUCCAAAAACGAUCACUUCUGACAGAGAUCCAAAAUUUGUUAGUCAUUUUUGGCGUACUUUAUGGAGAAAGUUGGGCAUUACCCUCCAAUUUAGCUCUUCUCAUCAUCUCCAAACCGAUGGUCAAACGGAGGUUGUCAACCGAAGCUUGGAUAAUCUUCUACGAAGUUUGGUAGGCAAGAAUAUUCGGCAAUGGGAUCUAGUUUUGCCGCAAGCUGAAUUUGCCUACAACCGUUCAUCUAGUCAAACAACCGGUGCAAGUCCAUUCCAGGUAGUUUAUGGUCGCAAUCCCAUUAGCCCGCUUGACCUCUCUCCCCUCUCUACUACUUAUUUUUUAGCAGUGAUGCUGAUGAACAAGCCAAGCACAUUAAGCAAUUGCAUGAGCAAGUUCGAGCUCGCAUCAUUAAGCACAAUGAGAAGUAUCAAAAGGCGGCCAACAGACAUCGCAAACCAGCGACCUUCAAAGAAGGAGAUCUAGUGUGGGUGCAUCUUCGUAAAGAGUGCUUUCCACAAGGACGACAUGGCAAGCUUAAACCAAGAGCAGAUGGACCAUUCAAAGCUUAGUUAGUUAAUUCGCGAUUAAUACGCGAAUUAUUGGCGUAUUUUUUAAGAUACGAAUUAAACGGUGGUUUUCGUAUUUUUUCGAAAAGUACGAAAAAAAUCGCGAUUUUUUCAUCAAAAAAAAUUAUUCGCGAAUUAGUCGCGAUUCGCGAAUAAUUCGCCCAAAAAUUCGGCGAUCGCGGUCGCGUCGUCGCCGCUCUCGUUGCCGCUCGCGUUGAGGGGAAGGGAUUGUCAUGGUGCUACCAUGACCUGAGUGGGAAGCGUAGGAGUAGGAUAAGGUGAAGGAACCAGAGGAAGACAAGAGAAGAUCCAUGGCAAAGAGGAGUAAUGACGGCGGCGAGUUUUGUGAAGAAGAAGAAGCUUGUUCGGGUUUUGGGUUCGCGCUCCCUCACUGUAGCGUUACCGGAUCCGCAUCCAAGGGGUGAACUAUGGAAAUGCCCUGUUCGGGUCUUGGGUUCGCACUUCCUCUCUGUAGCUUCUCCAGACCGGAUCCGCAUCCGAGGCGGAGGCGGAUUCAGUUCACUCACAGGCCAGUCCAGGCGUAGAACCCAGCCCGACACGUCGUCGCCGCUCUUUUUAUAUAUUAUUUUAUUUUUAUAUAAAAAUAUUUAUAUAAUAUUUUAUUUAUAAAUUUUUCAUUAUUUAUUAAUAUUUUAAAUAUAUAAAUUUUAUGUAUUAUUAAUAUAUUUUUAUUAUUAAUAUAUGAAUAUAUUUAAUCUAUAUAUAAAAAUUAUAAUAAUAAUAUAUAUAGUAUAUUAAUUAUUAUAUAUUUAUUAUAUAGCCGAAUUUUUGAUGCCGAAUUUUUAAUUGGUAGACGUAUAAUAUCCGUAUAAAUCACGUAUCCGAAUAAUUAUCGAAUCCGAUUUUUAACCGUAUUUUUCAAUGAAUUUAAAAAUUAAAAGACGAAUUUUAUCCGAAUUAUACCCGUACCGAAUUUUUGCCGAAUCCGAAUUAACUAACUAUGAUUCAAAGUGCUUAAGAGGAUUGAAGAGAAUGCCUAUAAGAUUGAGUUGCCCGGUGACUACAAUGUUUCGGCGACUUUCAAUAUUGCAGAUCUUUCACCGUAUUAUGAAGACAACCCACAUGCUGAACUUGAGGACAAGUUCUUUUCAACCGGGGGAGAAUGACACCGUUCCUGAAGUUGAUGGAUGAAGCCAUUAAUCACUUAAUAAAUGUUCGUUUUGAAAUAAGUGUAUCCCUUUGUUUUUCUAUAAUUGUCUUUUCGUUUUCUUAAAAAUGAGUUAUGAUAGUCUAGAUUUGUGUGUCUUUUAGUAUUUCUAAAAGUACCUUUUAAUUUUUCUAUAAAAUUAAAGAGUGCAUUAAUGUGUAGAGAAGAUGAAAGGUCAUUUGAGAGCUUAUAAAUAUGUAAUAAUUUUAUAAUGAAAAAAAGUCAAGUUGAGUUGAAGUUUCUACUUUUAUUUGUGAAGAAUGAUUUCUUCUUGCUCCUAUCUCCUAGGUGGAUUUCUUAUGAGAGAAGAGUGUUGCUCAACCAUUGUGUUGGUGAAUUCCGCAUAGUGGUGAAUAUUUAUCGUCUUAUAUUUGUCCUAUCUCCGCAUCCCCUCUAAGUGCCGGCGUCAUAAUUGAUGAUCCAAAGAAAUGUGAAUAAAUCUCUACGAAUCGGAAAAGGACGUGCGAGAAGAAAAAGAAAUAUGAUUGGCUUUUAGGAAAAAGUUUUUAUGGGAUUCAAUCUACGCGCGUACCUGCUGCAUCCGUCAUGAAUGAUGCAUCUUUUUUAUUCACUUUUGGCUGCUCCCUCUGUGAUUGAUAGCCACAUUUGGCAAUAGAAAUUUCCAAGUUUGAUUAAACAGAGUUGACAAGAAGAUAAUGUAUAUCUAAUAUUAGAGAUAUAUUUUUUAAAAUUAGCUCCAUCUUACAAGGAAGCACUUGAGAAUAAAUCUGAUUUUAUUUCUCCUUCAAUAAGUUAUAGCCUAGUUCUUAAAGAGGAGGCAAUUAAUAGCAGUAAGAUUUCGCGGAAUACUGAUCGUCCCUAGCAUAAAUGACAAAGAGCUUGAUGGUUGAUAUCUGAGGUCUCAAAUUUGAAUCCUAAUUGAUUCACAUUUUCAGCUAAAUUUAUUUCUAAAUGAAAUAAACGAAACGGGUAACAUGCUAUCUUUCUCUCAAAUAAAACAAAAAAAGAUUUUGGAGAAUCUGCGUCUAUUUAAUCAAGUGAAGCGUAAUUUUGACUAAAACAAUUAACCUAUAUUACAUAGUAAGUGCCUAAAUUAAUGCAAAUAUUAUUGUAGUUGUUUAUUCUAUUAUUGUCAAACUACUUUAUUUUUUUGAAAGAACUUAAUUUUUUUUUUGGUUAAAAGAGAAAGAUAUACUACCAACUUAAUUUAUUGAUUCUUUUUUUUUAAAAAAAAAAGCUUAAUAUGUGAAACAACUAAGAUUCAAACUUAAAACCUAAGAUAUCAACUCUUCAGCUUUUUGCCACUCGCGCUAGAAACGGUCAGUUUUCUGAAUUAAAAGUUGUUGAAGAGUGCUAGAUAAUGUCCAUAUAUUUGCUGCUAUAAGUCUUUCAAAAUAUUGCCUACAGUUAAAAAAAUAAAAAAAGCCUUUCAAAAUUUUGACUUUUGAUUGAUUUACACAUAUAGUUUGAUGUGGUUUACAAGUACAACAGUAAAUAAAAAAUAUGAAAAUAAUGUUGUAUAUACGUAUAUAUAUUUUUUGAGAAAAAAAAUAGCAUGCUAAUCUCUCCAUUCAUAAUAAUGUUGUAAAUUUUCCAUGUGUUUAGUCUAAAUUGGUUAAAUUUUGAUUGUAGAUAAGGCAUCUUUUUUUUUUUUUUUGCUUUUGGCUGCUUCUUCUGUGAUAGAAAAAUUUGAUAAUAAAAAUAAUCUGAUAAGGUUAAAACCAGUUGAAAAACAUAGUGUAUGACGCGUAAAAGAGAUACAUGUAUCUAUAUUAUUUUAAUAAUUAUGAGUUUGAAAGAUAGGUCACCUAUAUUUGUACUAUUCUAAUAAUUGUGAGUUGCAAGUGGCAAAGGACUUGGUGGUUGAUACCCGAGACCUAAGUUCGAAUCGUAAUUGAUUCACAUUAAUUUCCAGCUAAGUUUAUUUCUAAAUGAAAUAAACGAAGCGGGUAGCGUGCUAUCUAUCUCUCAAAAAAAAUAAAAAUAAAAAUUGUGAGUUGCAUCAGUCAGCUCUUUCUUAUUUUAUCAAGAAGAAAUCCGAAUAGUUUGAUUUUUUUUAGAUUUGAGAGCGUUUUCUACAUUUCAUCCAUCAAUCCACCCUAACAUCUAUUAUCUCAUCAUCUUAUAUGUUAAGUAAAUUUAAAAAUUUAAAUAUAAAAAAGUUUAUAUUUAGAAAUUCAUAUAUUUAAGUGUACAUAAUUUUAAAUUAAAUUUAGUUUUUAUAAAUUAAAAUUAUGUAACGUAUAAAUUUAAAGAACCAAAAAUUAAAAAUACUAAAUUUACCUAAUUUUAACUUUUAAUUAUUAAAUCACAAUAUUGAAAAUUUAUAUGUUAUUAAAUUAAAUUUAUAAUUUUUUAAAAUUCAAUGCAAUUUACUAUAAAUUGAUACAUUUAAAAUACUUUAACAUUCUUAAAUUUAUUUAUUUAUUUUUAACAAUCUAAAAAUCUAGCGGUAGCUGAUAAGAGAUUUUUAUGGACAAGGUGGAAAACACUGGUGCAUUUUUUAAAGAAAUAAUUUUAUGAAUAUUCUCCUUACAUACUAUAAUAUCACUAAUAUGCUCAUAAAUUUAAUAAUAUCAUGCAUGUCCUUUUAAAUAAUCACGAAGUUCCCGAUACCCCUAAUGAUUUUUUUUUUUUUCCAAAAUAACCGUCAUAGUUAAAAAAUAUCUAUUUUCUUCUUAUUUAUGAUAUCAUUAAUGUCCCUUAAAUUUUUUUAUCUUGUGAUAUUCAAAAUUUUCCAAAAAUACUCUCUAAACUUUUUACUAAUACUUUUUAUCGCCACGCAUACAACAUAAGUCACACGAACACUUUUACAAAUAAAUAGUUUAAAAAUUAAGUUUUUAAAAAAGGUCCUGUCCAUUAAUUUAUCAAUAUUCAAUCUAGUUACUCCAAAAAGUAUUCACUUUUUUUUGUUAAAAAAAAAAAUCUAAUUGUGAAACAAGCGAAAAUUACUUAUUGAGCUAGAAAACUUUUUUCCGAAAUUUUUUGGUCUGAACCAGACACCCCCUAAAUAUGUUUACAAAAUUAAAAGAAAAAUCCCAUCGAUUAAUUCAAGUAGACCUUAACUUUGAGAGCUUAUGUUUUGUAUCUUGCACUGUGGAAAUUAAAGAAUGAAAAUUUUGAGUCAAUAUAAAGUCCUUAUUCUAAGUAUAUAAGUCAUUCUGAAUCCAUCCAAUUAAUUAAGUCCUCUCGGAGAGAGAGAGAUUAAUUCCUCCCCCAGCUUGAUUAGAUUUCGACACAACUUGAGGAUGAAGAGAUCUAUACGCAAAUCGUACAUUCAACAGCCAAUCAAGCUAUGCCUCCAAAUCCGACAAUCUGCCAGAUCCGAUUUAGGAUAGAGUUUGCAAGAAGCAAUCAGUUAAGACUAUGCCACACCAUUAUUGGAGUCUCAUGCAUGUUGUUACACUUUUCAUUAUAGAUACAUUUCGAAACAUUCUUAAUACUGAAUUAAUUGAUAUUCAUGUUGACGUAUGUGCAUUUUCUCGCAAUAGGAUAGUAAAAAUCUACGACAUGCACGUGUUCUUCCAUUAUCAGUACAUUUGAAAAACCCCUCCUUACAGAUAAAAGGUUUGGAGGAAUUAUGAAAGGAAAAGGUUCCAACCCAGUGAAAACAAAAGAAGACAACGUCGUACGGAUACAUAGACCACCAUGAAAAGGCAGAGAGAAAAGGCGACACCUCACUUUCCAGGACACGUGGUUCCGGGCCCAAUGUCGGAAAAGGAAGAUGCAUGUGAAUGGAAAAGAUCACAAUCUUAUUCUGGAGUCGGUACAAUGUAAGAUGGACACUCAGGUCCAAUUAGUAUCCAUAAAUAUUUUAUUUAAUAUAUUUAUUUAAUAAACUCAAAAAAUAUAUAUAUUUGAUAAGUAAAGAAAGCAUUUAAAUAUUUAGAAUAAAAUAUUAUAUUCGAUAUUUAAGUCAUUUUUUAGAAUAAGAUGAAUCAUCUCGUAGAUAAAAUAUAUCAUUAUACUAAAUCAUGAAUUGUAAUACUUUUUAAGAAGUCAAAAUCAAAACUUUUAUUUAUAAUCAUACGAAAAUUAUUUAUAUCAAAUAAAAUAAUAUUUGAAUAACUUAUUGGAACAUCAAAAUAAGAGCUUACCAUUUUCCAUCUCACAUUUGCUUACUAUUCUUCUUAAGUGCUCUCUCUCUCUCUCUCUCUCUCUCUCUAUGUCUAUAAAUCCCCCCUCUUCUCACUAUUUCCUCUCUAUCUCUAUCCCUUGGGGUUGCUGUGGUCUGUGAUAGUGGACUCACUGAAGCCAUCAAUAAAUUUAAUAAAACCCUCAGUUUCUUUAAACUAAACUUAAAUCCAAAAGAUUGAAAGGCAAAGGGGUCACCUUGAAAAUUUUGAAGGUAACACAGCCAUUUGAAAAUGGCUUGUCAUUGAGGGGAUCUCCAUACAAUUUCUUUUUUUUAUCUUUAUUUACAGGUGAAUAUGUAUGCAACCUUUUGUAAUAUGAUACUUUUUCUUUUUUUUUUUUUUGAUUAAACAGGGGUUCGCCUGUUUGGUAGGGGGAUACAAGCAGAGGGGACAAAGGGAGGCUUGUUCAGAGGAGAACGAGCAGAGUACAAGAGAUUGAGUGGGAGAAACAAAUUAGUCUAUCUAUGUUGAUCGCACAAGUUUCCAAACUCGUCCACGAUCUGUUGGUUGGUUACCUCCUCCACAAGUACAUCCAAAGCUUGACUAAGCAGGUGACGGUCUUGCCCAGUUCUUCGCUAGAAGUGCGGCGAUUAGUAAAGAUUCUUGAGUUUCGCUCUUUCCAUAUUUCUCAGCAAGCUGCCACAAAGCAUAAGUCAAACCAAGAUUUUGCAGCUCCCGACAACACGUUCCUGCAACUCAUCCAUCUCAUGGGAAUGUCUCCGACUGCUGUCUGCAGUAAAGCGGUGAUGUUCUGUAACCCUGAAAGUAUCGCGUUCCACGUAGCUCGCGCGUAAGGACACCCAAAAAGUAAAUGAUUCUGGUUUUCCUCAUUGCUCAAGCACAUCACACAAAUUAAGGGACCCUGCCACCCACGUUUGGUUAACAAGUCCGCCGUCAAAAUCCUGUUUCUCGCUGCCAGCCACAUAAAGAUUUUGAUCCUGAGUGGCGCUUUUAGCUUCCAAAGGUGAGGCAAGCUGCAGUCCGAUACUCCGCAAAAGGCGAGGAAAUCGUAGGCGCUUCCGGUUGAGAAAUGGUCACUUGAGUUCCAUCUCCAAAUGACUGAGUCUUCCAGUUCAGCAUUGAAGGAGGUAGUGGAUACCAGGGCCGCUAGGUGGUGGAGUUCGUCCUGCUGCGGCCGGCUAAGUGAGGAACUGAAUCCUAGCGAGGUACUUCCGGCAAAACGUCGAAACCAUCAUUUGACGGAGAUCUGUUUCUGCGUCGUUAUGCAAUACAGGUUGGGAAAUUGUUUUCGCAGGGGUAACUCACCAUGCCAUCUGGAAUUCCACAUAGAAGUUAGCCUGCCAUUGCCGAGUGAGAGAUUGACAGAGGUUGUGAAAGGUGCCGCUGUAGAAAGGAUCGCUUUCCAAACAGGAGAACCCCCAGCUGGUUUAGAGAGGUCUGUCCGAGGCGGCCGAUGUUUAGAGUGUUUCUGUCGAAGAAGCUGUACCCAGGGGAGUGAAGGUGAAUUGAAGAACUUCCAAAGGCCCUUCAUUAGGAGUGCUGCAUUCAUGUGGCGAAUAUUUCGGAUACCAAGACCCCCAUGCGUCUUUGGGCGACACACGUUCUCCCAUCUAACGAGACAGUGAAACCCGCUCACGAGCUUCUCUCCUCUCCAAAAGAAGCCUCCGCGAAUUUUGUCGAUGGCCUUCGUGACCCAAACUGGGAGCAAAAAAGCAGAGCAGAAAUAGAUAGGAAUGCUCGAUAGAGAAGAGUUGAGAAAAAAAGCAGAGCAGAAAUAUGAUACAUUUUGAGUUUACUAUGCAACCUUUUAAUUUAUUUAAUUUGAAAAACUGCUAGAUAGAAAAAAAGCAGAGCAGAAAUAUGAUGGGAAAAAAGCAAUUUGACCCAAUCUGCUAGAUACGAAAAAAGCAGAGCAGAAAUAUGAUACAUUUUGAUUCAACUAAACCUUUAAAAUUUUGAGUUUACUAUGCAACCUUUUAAUUCCUUUAAUUUGAAAAUUUUAAUGACUCUUUCAUUUUAAAAUUUUUAAAAUAUUAUUUAUUUUUAUGGGUCUAAUUAGUAUUUUUUUUAAUAUAAUUUAUAUAACUAUAAUUUUAUUAAAAUACAAAAUGGACCUAAAAUUUGUACUUAUAUCAGAUGAAUUAAAGGCUGUAUAUUAAAAUUAAACUUUUAGAAGAUUGAAUAGUUAAAUUAAAACAGAAUAAAAUUUGGACUAGUCCUAUAUAUUUUUUUAUCUCAUUUAAAUUGGCCUACUUUUAAGCAACAUCUUGAAAGUAGGUCAAUUUAAAAUUACUCCCUAAACUUUUCACCAAUACUUUUUAUCGUCACAGCAGGCGUCACAAUGUCAGACGUCACAAUGUCACAUGGACACUUUUACAGAUAAAUAGUUUAAAAUUUUACAAAAAUAUCCUUUCUGUUUAUCAAAAUUCAAUCUACUCACUCCAAAAAUAUGUUUGGAAAAUCAAAAGAAAAAUUCCACCCAUUAUCUCGAGUACACCUUAACUUUGAGAGCUUUGUUUUGUAUCUUGCACUGUGGAAAUUAAAGAAUGAAAAUUUUUGAGUCAACUUAAAAUCGUUGUUCUAAGUAUAUAUAAGUAAUUCUGAAUCCAUCCAAUUAAUUAAACCCUCUUGGAGAGAGAAAUUAUUGUCUGCACCUGGUGUACUCGUGUAUCUCAUACGCUGCACUCUAUAUUUGACAGUUAUUAGUAAUUAAAAAUUAAAUAAAAUCUGGAACUUUAAAAAUAUCUACUUAAUUUAUUGGUUGACCAAAAUGCUCUUUGUUCAUUUGAAAAAAUUUCUUCAAAUAUUCCUUAUCCUCUAGAGUUCACUAAUGAGAUUGGAGUUUUAGAUGGCUAUUCUUGAAAUUGAAAAAUAAAUUGAAAAAUUUUGAAUAAUAGUAAAAAGUCUAUUAGCAAAGGUCCCUUUAAAUAUAUUUGCUAUUAUUAGACAAUUUCGUUAAAAUUUGAUUAGUUGAGAGACACCAUAUUAGCAAUGUGACUGCUGCAAUCUAAACUUUUUCCUCACAUACCUAAUUUGAUAAUGUUGUGAUUAAAAAUGAUAUUUUUAUACUAUGAAAACUUUCAAAAAAUUCAAAAUCACAUAAGUUUGCUUUUUCACACUAUAAUAUUGUGGUUACAAGUGCCAUAUAUCAUAGAAGUAAGUAGCCACAUUAAGAAACUGAGGAUAAUAAUUUUUCACAGAGACAACUUUGUAUUGGCAAAAUGGUCAUUUCACAUGUUCACCAUUAAAAAUCUAACGAGAGAUCAAACGGUAGGAACAAACAUAAACGUAUUAGAAGUUUUAGAUGGAUAUACUUACAAAUUAUAAAACUUUUUAAAAAAUAAAUCUAAUCACUUAAACUUUUAUAGAAAUUUAUCUAUCACUAAAUAUCUUUGUAGCAAGCCAUGCGAAAUUAUUGCUUUUAUUAACAUACGAAGAACAUUUGCACAAUUCUUCACAUUCAACUAUUAUUUUAGUAGGCUCGCACACACUCACAUCCAAAUUAUCUCAUGGUACACUGGAACACACUCACACACACCCGAAGUUGCAAUUAAAUGACUGGCACACCAACUCUAUACUAAAACUAUCCGCGCGCGCUCACACUUAAUUUCCACGCUACUACGUACUACUCGAUCCACACGGUGUCUUGGUGUGUGAGGACCUCACACCAAUUUGUAGGCAUCCAUCCAACGUCUGUUCGGACUGACUUAAAGCUUAGUCGGACACAACUAAUUAAUUCCCAGGAUGAUAGUAAGAGCAGAUGGUGUAGACGGUUUGGAGGAUGGUGAGAAUAAGAAGGACAGCUGCUGCGAUCAAAGAAAUGAUGGCCCAUGGAUUGCUGAAAUAGUCCCUCACCAGCUUCGCCCUCCACUUGGGCCAACGGGAAUCGCAGUACUUCCUCACGUCCCGGAAGAGUUCGGCGAGGUAGUGGUCAUCGUAAUCCAUGUAGGCCAAGUCGGAGAGCUGGUUGAAGAAGACCGCCAGUUCCUCGUCGCUCGCCAGAUUGUUCUCCAGGAUUCCGCGCUGGUGGAGUACCGCCACAUCCUCCCGCUUGUCUAUGAGGCAGUUCAUGAACAUCGCGUAGCUCGUCAUGUAAGCCUUAUCACCCUUGCACCCGCCGCACUGCUCGAAGGCCACGAGGUUUGAGAACCGAGUUAGGGUGGAGGGCUCCACCGAGAGGAAAGGGAUCUCGAGCACGCCGUCCUCAAAUGCUACAUCUAAGAAGGCACUAAGACGCUUCUCAUGAGUCUCAUUCUCAUUCUUCUUCUUCUUCUUCUUCUUCUUCUUCUUCUUAAUUGUCACUCCGGCGUCCAGGAGCUCGGUAGCAGAUGGAAUCGUCCUCGGUUUUGGAUCAGUUCGCAGUUUCGAGCGAGUUUGUGGUGCCGUGACAUAGCACUCGUAGUAGAGAUGCAAUAAGUGAUGAAAGUUUUCCGCUUCCCAUUUCUGGGGCUCUUUUGUUU
RNAcentral lists this long non-coding RNA (15454 nucleotides) under Ananas comosus (pineapple). RNAcentral's name for it is "long non-coding RNA (ACOM_LNC042558)". Lineage: Eukaryota; Viridiplantae; Streptophyta; Magnoliopsida; Poales; Bromeliaceae. The record is from RNAcentral.